Orycteropus afer afer is the source of this 71-nucleotide non-coding RNA. NCBI's taxonomy places the organism in Eukaryota, Metazoa, Chordata, Mammalia, Tubulidentata, Orycteropodidae. The record is from the annotation of a RefSeq genome assembly.
ACAUGGGUGGUUCAGUGGUAGAAUUCUCGCCUGCCACGCGGGAGGCCUGGGUUCAAUUCCCAGCCCAAUUC